ACGAACGCUGGCGGCGUGCUUAACACGUGCAAGUCGAACGGUGAAGCGCCUUCCUUUUUGGUGGGUGUGGAUGAGUGGCGAACGGGUGAGUAACACGUGAGUAACCUGCCCCCUUCUUCUGGAUAACCGCAUGAAAGUGUGGCUAAUACGGGAUAUUCUGGGUCUGUCGCAUGAUGGGUCUGUGAAAGAUAUUGUUUCUGUGGGGGAUGGGCUCGCGGCCUAUCAGCUUGUUGGUGGGGUGAUGGCCUACCAAGGCGGUGACGGGUAGCCUGCCUGAGAGGGUGGACGGUCACAAUGGGACUGAGACACGGCACAGACUCAUACGGAAGGCAGCAGUAGGGAAUGUUGGACAAUGGGAGCAAGCCUGAUGCAGCGACGCAGCGUGAGGGAUGGAGGCCUUCGGGUUGUGAACAUCUUUCGACAGUGAAGCAGGCCUGCCUCGUUUGUGGGUGGGUUGACGGUAGCUGGAUAAGAAGCGCCGGGUAGCUACGUG
This 493-nucleotide ribosomal RNA is filed under the name uncultured bacterium. RNAcentral describes it as "partial 16S ribosomal RNA". It matches the Rfam family "Bacterial small subunit ribosomal RNA", at positions 29 to 507 of the family's 1533-position model. The record is from RNAcentral.